Molecule: ribosomal RNA, 480 nt
Filed under: uncultured bacterium
Lineage: Bacteria
Description: partial 16S ribosomal RNA
Rfam family: Bacterial small subunit ribosomal RNA
Source: RNAcentral
GAUGAACGCUCGCGGCAGGCCUAACACAUGCAAGUCGAGGGGGAAGUUACUUUCGGGUGACUGAGACCGGCGUACGGGUGCGUAACGCGUAUACAAUCUGCCUUUCACUGGGGGAUAGCCCGAAGAAAUUUGGAUUAAUACCCCAUAGUAUAUAGGGGCGGCAUCGUUUUUAUAUUAAAGCUUAGGUGGUGAAAGAUGAGUAUGCGUUCUAUUAGCUAGUUGGAGAGGUAACGGCUCCCCAAGGCGAUGAUAGAUAGGGGUUCUGAGAGGGAUGUCCCCCACACUGGUACUGAGAUACGGACCAGACUCCUACGGGAGGCAGCAGUGAGGAAUAUUGGACAAUGGUCGGAAGACUGAUCCAGCCAUGCCGCGUGCAGGAUGAAGGUCUUAUGGAUUGUAAACUGCUUUUGUAAGGGAAGAAUAAGGGCUACGCGUAGUUUGAUGACGGUACCUUACGAAUAAGCAUCGGCUAACUCCGUG